AGAGCUGCAAGAGAAAGAAGACUGAAUUCAGUCUCUCUUGCAGAAAAAUUGUUUUCCGUCAAGUUGAUAAUAAUGAUCACACUGAGAAUGAAUGACUCAAGAUGAAUAUCCAAAGAUAUAUCAAAACCUGGUCAGCAGUCGUGGGGAAAGGAAGAAAGCCUGAGUUGAGUUUAUGAAAGUUUUCCACUAAAGUCAGCAACAGCUUAAAUUCAAACCAGGCACAAGACGCUUGAAUCUCCAUAUGAGUUGUUCAUCAAAGGGCUGAAAGAAAAGAAAUCUGAGCCCGAGCACGGUCUGGCCUAAAAGCUUUCAAGUGACUCCUUUCUGAGCUCAGGACAAUGGCCCCCAGGAGCCACUGGAUGUUCCAUUUUAGUCCUGGCUUGUACGGAGUGCGCCCUCUUUCUGAGAGGAGGUUUCCUGGGAAUUGGAUGCUGAGAUGAAAAGCAUAUGAGUAGCUUUCUUCCAGCAUUCUUCUUGGUGAUUAACCAACUAUCCAAGUACAAAGUUGCUCCUAAUUAACCCUGAGGACCCCAAUAUAAAGUUGCAAAUGAAAGAAGUCCUGCUACUCUAAAGAAUAACUAAACCAGACUGGAGUCACUGAAACUGAUGGAAGAACAUCUCAGGCAUGAGUGCCAUGGUGACGUCAUCAGCUCCGUUCACAACCACUCACCAUGAGGCCAUUGCUCCUGUGGAGGACACUGGCUUAGGACUCAUGAAGUAGUACCUCAGGAAGGUGUCUCUGUAAGUGUUCCUUCCACCAGCUCCAAGACACAAUGAGAUGGAGAGAACUGGAACAAUUCCCUAUGAUUGCAGCUGGAUAUUUUCACAUGAACUAUCUAGUAAUGAAGGCAAUGGCAUGUGGUGUGGCAAAGACUGGCCCCAGAUUACAUUUCCAGUCCUUUUGUACUGAGGAGGGGCUUUGGGACCAAGACAGUAGGAGUGAGGGUACAGGUUCCACAUUCUAUUUCUCUCUUAGUUUUCUGUGGUUAUCUUGGUGACUGCAUGGUAAAGAUGGAGGUGACAAAAGAUGGAAGGAGCCUGGAUCCCUGAAUGACUUCAUGGUGCAGAGCCUUACACUACCCCCAACUCAUACUAAAACAGGGGUGGGAGGAACAAUAGACCAUUAUUCUGUUAAGGUGCUGAAAUUGUAGAGCUGUUAAUUUGAACAGUUAGAGUUUCUUAUACUGAUACAGUAUCCUUACCCUGGAUUGUUGAAAUAAUUAGUCCAAAUAGUUUCUUUGCCUAAAACUGUGGACAGAGCCUAAGCAAUAUUGAAUCCAAGACAA
Long non-coding RNA from Homo sapiens (human), 1286 nucleotides. Ensembl annotates it as long intergenic non-protein coding RNA 1894. The record is from Ensembl. Lineage: Eukaryota; Metazoa; Chordata; Mammalia; Primates; Hominidae.